AAUAGAUACCCCGGUAGUCCACGCCGUAAACGAUGAGUGCUAAGUGUUAGGGGGUUUCCGCCCCUUAGUGCUGCAGCUAACGCAUUAAGCACUCCGCCUGGGGAGUACGGUCGCAAGACUGAAACUCAAAGGAAUUGACGGGGGCCCGCACAAGCGGUGGAGCAUGUGGUUUAAUUCGAAGCAACGCGAAGAACCUUACCAGGUCUUGACAUCCCGCUGACCGCUAUGGAGACAUAGCCUUCCCUUCGGGGACAGCGGUGACAGGUGGUGCAUGGUUGUCGUCAGCUCGUGUCGUGAGAUGUUGGGUUAAGUCCCGCAACGAGCGCAACCCUUGAGAUUAGUUGCCAUCAUUCAGUUGGGCACUCUAAUCUGACUGCCGGUGAUAAACCGGAGGAAGGUGGGGAUGACGUCAAAUCAUCAUGCCCCUUAUGACCUGGGCUACACACGUGCUACAAUGGACGGUACAAACGGUUGCCAACCCGGCGAGGGGGGAGCCAAUCCGAUAAAACCCGUUCUCAGUUCGGAUUGUAGG
RNAcentral lists this ribosomal RNA (532 nucleotides) under uncultured bacterium. RNAcentral describes it as "bacterial SSU rRNA". It matches the Rfam family "Bacterial small subunit ribosomal RNA", at positions 777 to 1304 of the family's 1533-position model. The record is from RNAcentral.